This is a non-coding RNA of Aureimonas sp., 159 nucleotides long. It matches the Rfam family "6S / SsrS RNA". From Rfam's summary of the family: E. coli 6S RNA was the first non coding RNA to be sequenced, but its function was unknown until recently. It consists of 184 nucleotides that fold into an extended hairpin structure with a large single-stranded internal bulge. NCBI's taxonomy places the organism in Bacteria, Pseudomonadati, Pseudomonadota, Alphaproteobacteria, Hyphomicrobiales, Aurantimonadaceae. The record is from Rfam.
GGCGGGCUGCGCGGUUCGACAGGGAUAACUUAUUCCCCGGGGCCUUACUCAUCCCUUAGGGAGCUGUCCCUGCUGCGGUCCGUGGACUGUGGCACACGGCGCCCACCUACUUUGUAGGUUCCCGGGAUCAACCUUCUCAUCGGCCGAGGUGGCUCGCCA